AGAGUUUGAUCCUGGCUCAGAACGAACGCUGGCGGCGUGGAUAAGACAUGCAAGUCGGACGGGACUAUUUCUAGUAGCAAUACCGGGAAUAGUUUAGUGGCGAACGGGUGCUUAACACGUGGGCAACCUGCCAGGAAGUGGGGGAUAGCUCGCCGAAAGGCGAAUUAAUACCGCAUGUGAUUAGAGAGGACAUCCUUUCGAAAUUAAAGUCGGGGCAACCUGACGCUUCUUGUGGGGCCCGCGGCCUAUCAGCUAGUUGGUGAGGUUACGGCUCACCAAGGCUUUGACGGGUAGCUGGUCUGAGAGGACGACCAGCCACACUGGGACUGAGACACGGCCCAGACACCUACGGGUGGCAGCAGUCGAGAAUUUUUGACAAUGGGGGAAACCCUGAUCGAGCGACGCCGCGUGGAGGAUGAAGGUCUUCGGAUUGUAAACUCCUGUCAUUGGGGAACAAUGCACAGAUAUUAACUGUAUUUGUGUUGAUAGUACCCGAAGAGGAAGAGACGGCUAACUCUGUGCCAGCAGCCGCGGUAAUACAGAGGUCUCAAGCGUUGUUCGGAUUCAUUGGGCGUAAAGGGUGCGUAGGCGGCGCGGUAAGUCGGGUGUGAAAUCUUGGAGCUUAACUCCGAAACUGCAUUCGAUACUGCCGUGCUUGAGGACUGGAGAGGAGACUGGAAUUUACGGUGUAGCGGUGAAAUGCGUAGAUAUCGUAAGGAAGACCAGUGGCGAAGGCGGGUCU
Molecule: ribosomal RNA, 742 nt
Filed under: uncultured bacterium
Lineage: Bacteria
Description: bacterial SSU rRNA
Rfam family: Bacterial small subunit ribosomal RNA
Source: RNAcentral